CGAGGUGUAGCGCAGCCUGGUAGCGUACUUCGUUCGGGACGAAGGGGUCGGAGGUUCGAAUCCUCCCACCUCGACCA
Molecule: transfer RNA, 77 nt
Filed under: Pseudopedobacter sp.
Lineage: Bacteria; Pseudomonadati; Bacteroidota; Sphingobacteriia; Sphingobacteriales; Sphingobacteriaceae
Description: tRNA-Pro
Rfam family: tRNA
About the family: Transfer RNA (tRNA) molecules are approximately 80 nucleotides in length. Their secondary structure includes four short double-helical elements and three loops (D, anti-codon, and T loops).
Source: RNAcentral